AAGGUUUUAAGUUAAAAAAACUAUUAGCCUUCAAAGCUAAAAAUAAAAAUUUUAUUUUAAACCUUA
RNAcentral lists this transfer RNA (66 nucleotides) under Kuwayamaea brachyptera. RNAcentral describes it as "tRNA-Trp". It matches the Rfam family "tRNA". Rfam says of the family: Transfer RNA (tRNA) molecules are approximately 80 nucleotides in length. Lineage: Eukaryota; Metazoa; Arthropoda; Insecta; Orthoptera; Tettigoniidae. The record is from RNAcentral.